Long non-coding RNA from Alosa alosa (allis shad), 343 nucleotides. RefSeq lists it as uncharacterized. The record is from RefSeq and is a predicted model, not a curated record. NCBI's taxonomy places the organism in Eukaryota, Metazoa, Chordata, Actinopteri, Clupeiformes, Clupeidae. The transcript is spliced from 3 exons.
GAAGGCAGUCUUCAAAACCUUGUACAGUUAAGCAGGAUUUGCUAAGCUGCUGUUACUGAAACGAGGGGUUGUUCCGACCGUAAGGUCAUCACAACCGCAUGCUGUUUUAUCUAGCAGCCAUGCACUUCAAUGAGAAUGCUGAGUCCCCACAACAGAAGACAGCCAAGGAGAAACUAUGUACAGACUUGCCAAACAAUUUCGGAUUCCUGUGCCCCAGGACUUGUGUGCUCAGCUUGACAGACCUUCCAUGGAGGAUGCUGUUGCUGAAUAUGUGUCACGGUUCAGUCGAAAAGGGGUCUGAAUCCAACGUACUGCCCUGAAGUAUCCAGAAGCUCCCUCCAUA